RNAcentral lists this ribosomal RNA (460 nucleotides) under uncultured bacterium. RNAcentral describes it as "partial 16S ribosomal RNA". It matches the Rfam family "Bacterial small subunit ribosomal RNA", at positions 338 to 795 of the family's 1533-position model. The record is from RNAcentral.
CCUACGGGUGGCAGCAGUGAGGAAUAUUGGUCAAUGGACGCAAGUCUGAACCAGCCAUGCCGCGUGCAGGAAGACGGCUCUAUGAGUUGUAAACUGCUUUUGUACGAGGGUAAACGCAGAUACGCGUAUCUGUCUGAAAGUAUCGUACGAAUAAGGAUCGGCUAACUCCGUGCCAGCAGCCGCGGUAAUACGGAGGAUUCAAGCGUUAUCCGGAUUUAUUGGGUUUAAAGGGUGCGUAGGCGGUCGGAUAAGUUAGAGGUGAAAUCCCGAGGCUCAACUUCGGAAUUGCCUCUGAUAUGGUUAGGCUAGAGAGUAGUGGCGGUAGGCGGAAUGUAUGGUGUAGCGGUGAAAUGCUUAGAGAUCAUACAGAACACCGAUUGCGAAGGCAGCUUACCAAGCUACUUCUGACGUGGAGGCACGAAAGCGUGGGGAGCAAACAGGAUUAGAUACCCCUGUAGUC